CCAGCUAAAGGAAAGAGACAAACAGGUGGAGGAUGUCAACAAUGAAAAUGCUGAACUGGCUCAACAGAUAUGUGAUGUGAAGACUGAGGUAGAGAGACUGAGAAGAGAGAUCUCAGCCCAGAUGACUGAACAUGGAGAGACGUCAGAUACAGGUUCCAUCCUCCCAGUCAGGAGGAGAGACAGCAUC
Long non-coding RNA from Oncorhynchus gorbuscha (pink salmon), 187 nucleotides. RefSeq lists it as uncharacterized. The record is from RefSeq and is a predicted model, not a curated record. Lineage: Eukaryota; Metazoa; Chordata; Actinopteri; Salmoniformes; Salmonidae. The transcript is spliced from 3 exons.